GACGAACGCUGGCGGCGUGCUUAACACAUGCAAGUCGAACGGGGAAGGGGCUUGCUUUUUUGGGCCCUGGAUGAGUGGCGAACGGGUGGUUAACACGUGAGUAACCUGCCCCCUUCUUCUGGAUAACCGCAUGAAAGUGUGGCUAAUACGGGAUAUUCUGGGUCUGUCGCAUGAUGGGUCUGGGAAAGAUUGCGCCUUUGGGGGUUUUUGGUGGGGGAUGGGCUCGCGGCCUAUCAGCUUGUUGGUGGGGUGAUGGCCUACCAAGGCGGUGACGGGUAGCCGGCCUGAGAGGGUGGACGGUCACACUGGGACUGAGACACGGCCCAGACUCCUACGGGAGGCAGCAGUGGGGAAUAUUGCACAAUGGGCGCAAGCCUGAUGCAGCGACGCCGCGUGAGGGAUGGAGGCCUUCGGGUUGUAAACCUCUUUCGCCAGUGAAGCAGGCCUGCUCCUUGUGGGUGGGUUGACGGUAGCUGGAUAAGAAGCGCCGGCUAACUACGUG
Molecule: ribosomal RNA, 502 nt
Filed under: uncultured bacterium
Lineage: Bacteria
Description: partial 16S ribosomal RNA
Rfam family: Bacterial small subunit ribosomal RNA
Source: RNAcentral